GAUAGAGGCCUACCAUGGU
RNAcentral lists this unclassified non-coding RNA (19 nucleotides) under Chlamydomonas reinhardtii. Its description in RNAcentral is "small RNA Cre_1626". Lineage: Eukaryota; Viridiplantae; Chlorophyta; Chlorophyceae; Chlamydomonadales; Chlamydomonadaceae. The record is from RNAcentral.